RNAcentral lists this long non-coding RNA (3874 nucleotides) under Musa acuminata (dwarf banana). RNAcentral describes it as "long non-coding RNA (MACU_LNC007986)". Lineage: Eukaryota; Viridiplantae; Streptophyta; Magnoliopsida; Zingiberales; Musaceae. The record is from RNAcentral.
CACCCCUCUUAGACGUCAAGCCAACAAACACAUCAUUAACAGGCGGAUGCGGAUUCUCUGUCUCUUGUCAACAAUGAGGGUGCUACAGGGGCAGGGCAGGGGAAAACUCUACUCAAAAGUUUGAAUUGAACUCCUUAUUGCAAACCGACUAUAUUUCUUGCUGCCAAUAACUAUCUUGGAGACAACACUCGAACAGAAGGAUACAAAACGGUAGUAUACCUCCGCAUCAGAAGGAACUAUCUCUCCACGACCAACAUAAACAACUGGAGAGAGACUUUCUUACUUGCUCAUAACUCACUACCUUUCUACUAUUCUUCUCUACUUAACCGUUACGUGGGCAGUUUCGCAUUAAACAUUCCAUUCUUUCGACAACACUCUCACUAGGCGAACGAACAAAAAGACAAUCCGGCAAUUCAUUUACCAUACCCUCUUCUCUCUCUACUACAAGGAGCUAAAGGAACUCUACGACAAACAAAUACUUCAUUUCUAUCUAUCGAGUAAGCAUGUGAUAUAUAAUCCAAAGGGUAAAUAGACUGAACGAACAAGUCCUUUUUUCGUCAUGGCGGUAGGGCAGCUAAGAACCACUUCUCAAAUAGCUAAUUUCCCUAUGUUGGUACCCGGAAAACUGGAAUGGAAUCUCUCUCGUCAACUACAGGAAUUUCAUAUCUAUAGAACCAGUAUUUGAACCAACCUUCUUCUUUACCUUUUGAACCAACCUUCUUCUUUACCUUCUGAAGAUCUCGUUGAUGUCGACUUUUCUUUCUUCGGAUCCUUCUCUUGAAACUGUUUCUGAUCGCAGCUUCUUCACUUGCGGAUUCCCUUGCUUUAGAAUAUCAAUUAUGUGCAUUCACUACAAUAGACAGACCAGUGGGGAGAGUGAUACUUAUUUCAACCAGACGAGAUACUAUACUUUAGACGAUACCGAUAUCGCAUUAACCACAAGGCAGAGUUGGGACAGUGAACAAGCUACGUUUUGCUUUCCUUUGAGGUUGGUUUCUCUUCUCUUCCAUCUGCCACGGAACCGUCGUGUUCAGGAGCUAGGCGGGAAAGAAAAGCACUUUCAUUUUCAAACAAAUGCAGGAAAUGCUUAGCCAGCCGUUGCAGAAGCACUUGUUGGUGCAGAAGCACUUGUUAGUGAGUGAUCGCUUGUUAGUUAGUUUUCUUAAUGAGAAGUAUCGCUUGUUUUGGGUGAGUCUUUCUAAUAUGCUGUGGUUAGUUACUUCAUUCAUAUGCAACCUAAGCUAACGCUUACUUCUCUUCUGGGCACUGGGCAAUAAUAAAGUCAAGGUGCUUGGUGGCUUUCCCUUUGCGUGGAGCAGGGUUUUUCGAGUUCUUUACGUUGCUGGGCUUUCCUUUCCCUUGUAGUGAUCCAAGCAUUUCAGUUCAGAGGAAGCUGUCAACCUUACAAGUCAUAAUGUUACGCGUUAUAAUAGUUUCUACCCUUAACUAAAGCAAGCUGUCAACCCAACAAUAAACUCUCUCGUACGACGUCAAACCAAGAAUCUAUAUCGUAAACCACUUUAGCACCCAAAGGAACAACACUUGAAGAUUCAUAAUGGAAUUGAAACUCUCCAACAGUCCAACGAAUGCAUUUGUAGCCUAGAGCAAGUCCUUUCUGCGUUGGCUAUGUUAGCACAUAUACUGUUUUCGCCUGGAGCAAGUUCUUAUUUCGUUGAUUGAAACCUUGCUUUUUCACUAGCUUCUUGACUUUGCUUUAUAUACGGAAUUCGUGUUGAGCCGGUAAGUUUCUAAUUACGUAUAGAAAAAGAGAAUAUUCUGUGAGACUACGACUUUAUACUACUUGUUUGGUCUGCAAGAGAAGUUAUUGUGUCCGUAACUCUCAAAAGGUAGGCUUUUCAGAGAGAGUGAAGUUUGGGGGAGACGAAGCUGUGCUAAGGGAAGCUACAAUUCCAGUUUCGUUUGUGGAAAAAGAUAGUAUUGGCUCUUAAGCUAGCAAGGUGUCGUGGACGUAGAGAGUCUCUUUGUGCUUCUGAUGCGCUAAGUCCUGAUUACCCUUACGCUCUUUCAGCUUUACUUGGAAAUAAGUCUUCUUGCCCAACACAUACCUUAACCUUGAUUAUUGCCUUCUUAUGCUUAAGUAUAGGGUUCUAAGUCUACCGAGAGAAGUUAUUGACCUGACCGCGAGAGAGGAAAUGAAUGAUUCAGACAGGACAGACCCAGACUUCAGCACUAUAAUAAAUGGUAAGUGGAAGGAUUCUUUGUAUACCUUACUGAGUUUGACAGAAAGAAGGGAAUAGAGUAUCUCGCUCGUAUCGAGAAGCCGAGCCUAGAGAAGAAUCUUUUGAAGUGAAAAAGUAAGCUGCUGUCAGAGUUCAAUUAACAGUUUUCCUUGGUGAAAGUGAAAUGACUGUUUUCGUCUUGUUCUGUUCGCAAGUAAGUUGAAAGUCAUUCUGCUCUUUCUUGUUAAGGUCUUACCAGAGAGAGAAUCCGCAUGAGAGUUGAGUGUUGCGGUAAGGACGGGACAAUCUGUUUACCAUGAUAUUGCCUUAUUCCCCGGGACCUGAAUUAUGUCCUUCUUCAGUGCUAACGAGCAACAGAUGAAGCAGUUAGAGGAAAGUAGAGAAGUUAUGUUGCUGCAAGUGAACCAUCAAGUGAAGAAGCUGUGUUAGCUCCCGAAUAAGCUGUUCCAAAGUAAGCUGCAAACGGGUAGUCUUAAGUUGAAGUCUGAACUUCCCGGUGGUGUUCUUGUUUUGUCAACGAGAUCAGGAUCUUAAUAAAGAGAAGAUAAAGGAUCCGGCGUGAAAGUAGGGGGAAAGGAAGCUGCAUCGCCUGUUGCAAGGUUGAGCCUCAAGUCAGCGGGAAAGAUAGAUGGAUCAGACUCAGGCGCUGGGUUAAGGACAUAAUGUAAAGGCUUUGAAGCGUUAGCGGUUCCAACUUCAAGUUUCGUUCAAGGAUAGUUUGGGAGAGUGUAAGUUGAAGCGGAAGCAAGAUCGGAUCGGAAUCUUAUUCAAAAGACAGAGAACCUGGGUAUUUACUUGACUCUAUACUACAUGUGCUCGAUAGAUGAAAUUCCAUUCAUUCAUAUUGCCCCAUACUAAAGGCAAAGUUGUUGACAGAAGAUCCCCUGCUUGAAAAUGCAUUUGAGCCUAAGAAAUAGUCCUAUAGCUCUUAAACAUCAACUGAAACAAUAACUUCCAACUCCACUUGAAGAAACGAACUCCACUUUACUUCCAGCACUUGCUGCUAAUGACAAAACCUCUUCUGAUCUAAUUACUAUUUAUAUUGCACAGAGACCCUUAUUUAGCUUAUUGCCUCUUUAUACUUUACUGUGGAGCUGACUUCCUUUCUCUACGAAAACUAAGGUCAAACCAAUCACUGACACCGACCUUUCACAGUUCUGAACCAACAACGCAUGAACCUCUAGCGUAAACAAAGAGCUACGCUACCCUUAGACACAAGUAGAAGAUCGAACCUCUCUCCCACCAAAAGAACAAGACUCCAAGUUUCGCUAACCAACUUAUAAGAAUCGCUAUGACCAGACUUUAGCCUUAUUCUCGGCUGGCUUCAAUUCCAUUCAUCUUUAUUGAGGAUAAGACUUAUUGCCAACAGGAUAAGACGGAUUGCCUACUUCCCUUCCCGACCCGAACUCUACUACAAGGAAGAAGAAAGCCCUUCACUUUCUUGCAGGACAUAGGCAUAGGCACCGUGAUCCAUACUAUACAAUAUACUUUAAUACAAUAAAUAUACUUGACUUCCAUACUAUACAAUAUACUUUACUUCAAUCAGAAAAGAAAGAAUGGAAUGACACUUAUGGAGGAAUAGAAACCUUACUCUAAACUCAUAGCUUUGCUUCCUUAAUAACCUUUGACUCUAAACUCGUAGCUUUGCUCUUCCUUAUAACCUUAUUGUUCCG